GGGAAUUUAGCUCAGUGGUAGAGCGUUUGCCUAGCAAGCGCAAGGCCCUGGGUUCAGUCCCCAGCUCCUG
RNAcentral lists this transfer RNA (70 nucleotides) under Rattus norvegicus (Norway rat). It matches the Rfam family "tRNA". Rfam says of the family: Transfer RNA (tRNA) molecules are approximately 80 nucleotides in length. Their secondary structure includes four short double-helical elements and three loops (D, anti-codon, and T loops). Lineage: Eukaryota; Metazoa; Chordata; Mammalia; Rodentia; Muridae. The record is from Rfam by way of RNAcentral.